Molecule: long non-coding RNA, 434 nt
Filed under: Mytilus galloprovincialis (Mediterranean mussel)
Lineage: Eukaryota; Metazoa; Mollusca; Bivalvia; Mytilida; Mytilidae
Source: RNAcentral
AAGGGGCAAGAUGUGUUUUCUUGUACUUGCCCUACGGAUAUGCUAGUUGACAUAUAAAUCUAACAGGGCUUUUGUUGUAUUUACAAGCAUGUCAGAUUUAUAGGUCAACUAGCAUGUUUUUAUUUAACAUAUUUUUGAUACAUGUAUAUACACUUCCUCUGCUUUCUGUGUUUUUUUGCUGUGCACAUACUGAUUUUGUUUCAAGGAUGGAUACCCUAUAUCCUUUCUUUUCAUUUAAACAAAUGUACAUAAACUGUAUUGUGAACAACACCUUGGUUUUUUCUUUCUUUUUAUCAACAGUGACUUUUGUGGCCAUUUUACUUAUUCUUCUGGAAGUAUAAACAACUGUCAUACAAGAUGGGGGUUUAGGUAGCUAUAACACCACAGGAUUAACCAAGCAUUUUCUAAAGAAAUGCCUAUAACAAGUCAGGAAU